Molecule: transfer RNA, 78 nt
Filed under: Shewanella baltica
Lineage: Bacteria; Pseudomonadati; Pseudomonadota; Gammaproteobacteria; Alteromonadales; Shewanellaceae
Description: tRNA-Leu(tag)
Source: RNAcentral
AGGCGUUUCUGGCUUGUUAUCCAAAGCGGGUGAUUUAGGUUCAUCACUGCAAGGCAGUGCGAUGGUGUUAGAUGCCUU